Molecule: long non-coding RNA, 2198 nt
Organism: Felis catus (domestic cat)
Lineage: Eukaryota; Metazoa; Chordata; Mammalia; Carnivora; Felidae
Exons: 2
Source: RefSeq, a predicted model, not a curated record
ACAAAAUUCAAGAGACACAGGGCUGACUGGAGCCCGGGCACAAGGCCCCGCGGACCGAGGAUCCCAGAGGAAGGGCCUGACCAAGCCCAGCACAUCUGCCUGCACGCGGGUUCGCGGGGCACCCAGACCCUCGCGGUGGACAGACAGGCGCGGGGGGGACUCCGUGCAGGGACACACCGGCCUCUGUCCUCACGCAGAAGCAGAUGCCCCAAGGCCUGAGGGGGACGCGCCCAGCUCCGGGGAGGCGCUUCAGGGCAAACCCACAGACGGCUGUGGACGGUCUGCUCAGAUGCGAAACAAUCAGGAAAGAAAGACGGCUUGGUGGCGCUUUUUAGGGGCAAGAGUCCGGUGACGUCUGCCUGCGCGGCCCGGCCGCCUCCGGCUGCCUGUGACAGGGGAGCGGGGGUCAGUCACGCCAGCAGGGGUGGCGCUUCCUGUCGGAGCAGAUAGGAGGCCGGGAGGGGAGAAGACAGGCCGAGUUCUCACCGAGAGAAAAGCCGCAGGCCUGGCGCCGGCUCCUGCAGGUUCUGAGAACCCUCAGGGAGACUCCGGGGCGUCACACGGCUCCGGCUACGGGGCCACCCCCACACGCAUGGGGCUGGCGGGUGGCGCCCGGCGCCCAUUGGCCAGAGCCCAUUCCACGCGGCGGGGGAGAGCGGGGCAGGUUCCCGGGCAGGGACGCGGCCGGCCAGCGCACCCAGCGCUCAAAACCAGCCCAUCAGUUCUGGAGAAAGGGCCAGAGCCUCCCUCGCCCCCACCCACCCUGAGCUCCGUCAACCCCGGGAGAGGGAGGGGUCUUCCCGGAGCUGGAAUGACUCCUCCGAGAUUCCUAUAGCAAGAAAAACCCCCGUGAGCCCCUUCUAUGGACGAGAGAGAGAAGCAGGAAGACAGCUGGGCCAGGACAUACCUCUUCGGGCCUGGAAGGCCACUGUCCCCAGCAGGGCACACUUGGGCCCCGGGGACGGCAGAUGAUCAGGGACAAAACUGCCCAGUGAUUCCUACUCCGCCAGAGGUUGGCAAGCAGGCUACAUGGCUCAUCCACAAAUUUUCCAAACUGUCGCACAUCUCCAAAAAUUUUUCCAACGUGGUUCUUGAGUAAAAACCUGCACGUAAGCGGACCCGCACGGUUCAAGCCCGUGUUGUUCAAGGGUCACCCGUACUAGGAUUCUGCAAGGUGUUACCGAUGGAGCAGUCUAGAUAAAGUAUACAAGAGAACGUCUCUGUUAUUCCUUAUGGUCGCGUCCAUCUACAAUUAUCUCAAAGAAAAAGAUGAUUAAAAAUAUACAAGGUGUGGAGUGCCCGGUGGCUCAGUCGAUCAAGCGUCUGACCCGUGCUUUCGGCUCAGGUCACGAUCACGGCUCGAGGGAUCGAGCCGCACGUCAAGCUCCGCGCUGACAGUGCGGAGCCCGCUUGGGAUUCUCUCUCUCCCUCUCUACAUAAAUAAACAUUAAAACAAUUAUUUUAAAUAAAAACAAAAAAAGCAAGCCGCCGCGUGACACUAGGAUGGCUACACUUUUUUAAAAGAGGGGCAGGACAAAGCGCUGGGGACGCGGUGAGAGAUCCGGGCCUCCGUGCACCGCUGGCGGGAAGGUGAAGGGCUGUGGCCACUGCAGGACAGUUAGGUGGUUUCUCACAAGGUUAAAUAAAGAAUUAGCCUCUGACCCGGCAAGCCCGGUCCUGGGAGUCCACUCAAGAUUACUGAAAACGUACGUCCAACACGAACACUUGCACACGAGUGUUCACACAGCAUGAUGCGCCGCAGCCGGCGCGGAGACAUCCCACACGCCCUCCCCCCAGAGGAGCGGACCGGCAGGUGCACGGCCUGGACCCGCGCUCCGCCUCACAAGGAGCGAAGCCUGGACGCGCACGACGCUCAGGGAGAAGUCCACACCGAGGGCCCCACGCCUGCUGUGUGACUCUGUUUCAAUGAAACGCCCAGAAGAGGCGAAUCCACAGCCAGGAAGCGGAGUGGUUGCUGGGUGUGGGGGGAGGGGAGUGAGGGCGCCCGAGUUUCUUUCUGCAGUGACGAGAAUACUCUAGAAGGUGAUAAUAGCGAUGGUUGCAUACACUAAAAACCAGCGAACCGUACUCUUACAAAAGGUGCGAUUUCUGUUACAUGAAUUAUAUCUCAAUAAAACUAUUAUUAAGAAAUUCUAAAAAAAAAAAAGUGAAAUGAACCGUUGGCUGAAAACCCAAAC